RNAcentral lists this long non-coding RNA (512 nucleotides) under Phasianus colchicus (ring-necked pheasant). RNAcentral describes it as "lncRNA (ENSPCLG00000018126.1)". The record is from RNAcentral. Lineage: Eukaryota; Metazoa; Chordata; Aves; Galliformes; Phasianidae.
UGCAGUGAGUUCAUGGAAGUGCUUUCCAUUUUGACUCUUGCAGUGAUCAUCAGCUCCGCAUCCCGUGACGUUUUCGUAUGCACUGUGAAGGCUACUGGAGGGUGGACAGAUGGCUUCAUCUUGAGCCUAAGAGAUACCCAGAUCUGUUUGCAAUAAUGAAGAGCUGCAAAAGCUUUAUUUGGAUGCUGGAGGAAGAAGAAAGCUCUAACGUGCUGGUGAGAAGCAGCCUGGGCUGAUUAAGCUUCUGACUUGGAAAUCUGGAAAAGGGGCCUAGUGAGGAAUCCUGAAAUUGCUUUGUCACAGCACUGGAUCCAAGAGAGGAUGAGUUUGGAUCCUUGCUCUUCCACGUGGAGAAAGAUCCCCAGGAGGAGGAGGAGGAGAGCUAAAGCAGUGCAGAGGAAGGGGAGGUUAAGUGAGCUGCUGAAUGCACCCUGGUCUCUACUUCUCAUGCUAAGAAGCAAUUGAAAUAUUAAAGGUAAUAAAACAUGAUUUAGUUCAUGCUGUGAACCUCA